This 253-nucleotide ribosomal RNA is filed under the name uncultured bacterium. Its description in RNAcentral is "partial 16S ribosomal RNA". It matches the Rfam family "Bacterial small subunit ribosomal RNA", at positions 524 to 776 of the family's 1533-position model. The record is from RNAcentral.
UACGUAGGUGGCAAGCGUUAUCCGGAUUUACUGGGUGUAAAGGGCGUGUAGGCGGGAGUGCAAGUCAGAUGUGAAAACUAUGGGCUCAACCCAUAGCCUGCAUUUGAAACUGUACUUCUUGAGUGCUGGAGAGGCAGUCGGAAUUCCGUGUGUAGCGGUGAAAUGCGUAGAUAUACGGAGGAACACCAGUGGCGAAGGCGGAUUGCUGGACAGUAACUGACGCUGAGGCGCGAAAGCGUGGGGAGCAAACAGG